Long non-coding RNA from Rattus rattus (black rat), 673 nucleotides. RefSeq lists it as uncharacterized. Lineage: Eukaryota; Metazoa; Chordata; Mammalia; Rodentia; Muridae. The transcript is spliced from 2 exons. The record is from RefSeq and is a predicted model, not a curated record.
UUCCAGAGUGUCUUCAAUUGAAGUGGGAAAUCCAUGAUGGCCAAUAUGUUUUCUUCACUGCUGUCUUCUCGACUGGCCCUCAAACAAUUGCUGAGAGGCCUGGCUUAUCUGCCACAGCCUGGUCCUGCUUAGAUACAGCUGCUCAAUAUUUCCUCAAAGGCAGAGGCUGGGCCAGGGACUUGAGACAUGACUGUACUGGAGAGGAUCCCAGGAAGCAGGCCAUGAUACUGGGAAGAUGGGGGAAGUGAGGAGGAAACGUCUCCUCAGGGAUGUGCUACUGGGGUCAGUAUCCUGUGACCUGAAGGCCUGGAUUCUGCAGCCUAGAGAACUAGCUGUCUGUCUGGGACAGAUGGAGCAAUGGCAGCUCCUACCUGCACAAGUUGUAGGAUCCCCUAGUGACCUGAACAGCACACGGAAAGACAACAGUUUGGUUUAGAUCUAGUGGAAUUCUAGGACAUCAGGGAAAAUCCUGGGGAGGAAGCAAAUCUUCUUGAGAUGAGAGCCAGCCAAACAGUAAGGGAUUACAGCUGCUCUGGGCCACGACACCCCCUCCAGUGUCUCUGAAAUCAGAAGCAAGCUGGGAAAGAAGGAAACCUGUAAUCAUGAAGGCAACGAUCAUUUGUUGAGUACUUGUCUGUUAUUCAUUCACUGAUAAAUAUUUGCUAAGAGUCCA